Molecule: ribosomal RNA, 330 nt
Filed under: uncultured eukaryote
Lineage: Eukaryota
Description: partial 18S ribosomal RNA
Rfam family: Eukaryotic small subunit ribosomal RNA
Source: RNAcentral
CCCUUAGAUGUUCUGGGCCGCACGCGCGCUACACUGAUGAAUUCAACGAGCUCCUAACCUAGGCCGAAGGGUCCGGGUAAUCUUUGAAAUUUCAUCGUGAUGGGGAUAGAUUAUUGCAAUUAUUAAUCUUCAACGAGGAAUUCCUAGUAAGCGCGAGUCAUCAGCUCGCGUUGAUUACGUCCCUGCCCUUUGUACACACCGCCCGUCGCUCCUACCGAUUGAAUGGUCUGGUGAAAUGUUCGGACCGCGACAAGGCGGACGGUUCGCUGUCAGCUUUGCUGCGGGAAGUUCAUUAAACCUUAUCAUUUAGAGGAAGGAGAAGUCGUAACA